This 301-nucleotide ribosomal RNA is filed under the name uncultured bacterium. RNAcentral describes it as "partial 16S ribosomal RNA". It matches the Rfam family "Bacterial small subunit ribosomal RNA", at positions 509 to 809 of the family's 1533-position model. The record is from RNAcentral.
CAGUAGCCGCGGUAAUACAGAGGGUGCGAGCGUUAAUCGGAUUUACUGGGCGUAAAGCGCGCGUAGGUGGUUUGGUAAGAUGGAUGUGAAAUCCCCGGGCUCAACCUGGGAACUGCAUCCAUAACUGCCUGACUAGAGUACGGUAGAGGGUGGUGGAAUUUCCUGUGUAUCGGUGAAAUGCGUAGAUAUAGGAAGGAACACCAGUGGCGAAGGCGACCACCUGGACUGAUACUGACACUGAGGUGCGAAAGCGUGGGGAGCAAACAGGAUUAGAUACCCCGGUAGUCCCUGUCUCUUAUAA